GAUGAACGCUGGCGGCGUGCCUAAUACAUGCAAGUCGAGCGAACGGACGAGAAGCUUGCUUCUCUGAUGUUAGCGGCGGACGGGUGAGUAACACGUGGGUAACCUACCUAUAAGACUGGGAUAACUUCGGGAAACCGGAGCUAAUACCGGAUAAUAUUUUGAACCGCAUGGUUCAAAAGUGAAAGACGGUCUUGCUGUCACUUAUAGAUGGAUCCGCGCUGCAUUAGCUAGUUGGUAAGGUAACGGCUUACCAAGGCAACGAUGCAUAGCCGACCUGAGAGGGUGAUCGGCCACACUGGAACUGAGACACGGUCCAGACUCCUACGGGAGGCAGCAGUAGGGAAUCUUCCGCAAUGGGCGAAAGCCUGACGGAGCAACGCCGCGUGAGUGAUGAAGGUCUUCGGAUCGUAAAACUCUGUUAUUAGGGAAGAACAUAUGUGUAAGUAACUGUGCACAUCUUGACGGUACCUAAUCAGAAAGCCACGGCUAACUACGUGCCAGCAGCCGCGGUAAUACGUAGGUGGCAAGCGUUAUCCGGAAUUAUUGGGCGUAAAGCGCGCGUAGGCGGUUUUUUAAGUCUGAUGUGAAAGCCCACGGCUCAACCGUGGAGGGUCAUUGGAAACUGGAAAACUUGAGUGCAGAAGAGGAAAGUGGAAUUCCAUGUGUAACGGUGAAAUGCGCAGAGAUAUGGAGGAACACCAGUGGCGAAGGCGACUUUCUGGUCUGUAACUGACGCUGAUGUGCGAAAGCGUGGGGAUCAAACAGGAUUAGAUACCCUGGUAGUCCACGCCGUAAACGAUGAGUGCUAAGUGUUAGGGGGUUUCCGCCCCUUAGUGCUGCAGCUAACGCAUUAAGCACUCCGCCUGGGGAGUACGACCGCAAGGUUGAAACUCAAAGGAAUUGACGGGGACCCGCACAAGCGGUGGAGCAUGUGGUUUAAUUCGAAGCAACGCGAAGAACCUUACCAAAUCUUGACAUCCUUUGACAACUCUAGAGAUAGAGCUUUCCCCUUCGGGGGACAAAGUGACAGGUGGUGCAUGGUUGUCGUCAGCUCGUGUCGUGAGAUGUUGGGUUAAGUCCCGCAACGAGCGCAACCCUUAAGCUUAGUUGCCAUCAUUAAGUUGGGCACUCUAAGUUGACUGCCGGUGACAAACCGGAGGAAGGUGGGGAUGACGUCAAAUCAUCAUGCCCCUUAUGAUUUGGGCUACACACGUGCUACAAUGGACAAUACAAAGGGCAGCGAAACCGCGAGGUCAAGCAAAUCCCAUAAAGUUGUUCUCAGUUCGGAUUGUAGUCUGCAACUCGACUACAUGAAGCUGGAAUCGCUAGUAAUCGUAGAUCAGCAUGCUACGGUGAAUACGUUCCCGGGUCU
This 1372-nucleotide ribosomal RNA is filed under the name uncultured bacterium. RNAcentral describes it as "bacterial SSU rRNA". It matches the Rfam family "Bacterial small subunit ribosomal RNA", at positions 28 to 1381 of the family's 1533-position model. The record is from RNAcentral.